ACACCGGCAGCUCUAGUGGUAGCAAUUUUUAUUGGGCCCAAAGCGUCCGUAGCCGGUUUAAUAAGUCUCUGGUGAAAUCCUGCAGCUUAACUGUGGGAAUUGCUGGAGAUACUAUUAGACUUGAGAUCGGGAGAGGUUAGAGGUACUCCCAGGGUAGAGGUGAAAUUCUGUAAUCCUGGGAGGACCGCCUGUUGCGAAGGCGUCUAACUGGAACGAUUCUGACGGUGAGGGACGAAAGUUAGGGGCGCGAACCGGAUUAGAUACCCGGGUAGUCCUAACUGUAAACGAUGCGGACUUGGUGUUGGGGUGGCUUUGAGCUGCUCCAGUGCCGAAGGGAAGCUGUUAAGUCCGCCGCCUGGGAAGUACGGUCGCAAGACUGAAACUUAAAUGAAUUGGCGGGG
RNAcentral lists this ribosomal RNA (401 nucleotides) under uncultured bacterium. RNAcentral describes it as "partial 16S ribosomal RNA". It matches the Rfam family "Archaeal small subunit ribosomal RNA", at positions 473 to 873 of the family's 1478-position model. The record is from RNAcentral.